GACGAACGCUGGCGGCGUGCUUAACACAUGCAAGUCGAACGGAAAGGCCCUGCUUUUGUGGGGUGCUCGAGUGGCGAACGGGUGAGUAACACGUGAGUAACCUGCCCUUGACUUUGGGAUAACUUCAGGAAACUCGGGCUCAUACCGGAUAGGAGCUCCUGCUGCAUGGUGGGGGUUGGAAAGUUUCGGCGGUUGGGGAUGGACUCGCGGCUUAUCAGCUUGUUGGUGGGGUAGUGGCUUACCAAGGCUUUGACGGGUAGCCGGCCUGAGAGGGUGACCGGCCACAUUGGGACUGAGAUACGGACCAGACUGCUACGGGAGGCAGCAGUGGGGAAUAUUGCAGAAUGGGCGGAAGCCUGAUGCAGCAACGCCGCGUGCGGGAUGACGGCCUUCGGGUUGUAAACCGCUUUCGCCUGUGACGAAGAGUGAGUGACGGUAAUGGGUAAAGAAGCACCGGCUAACUACGUG
This 468-nucleotide ribosomal RNA is filed under the name uncultured bacterium. RNAcentral describes it as "partial 16S ribosomal RNA". It matches the Rfam family "Bacterial small subunit ribosomal RNA", at positions 28 to 507 of the family's 1533-position model. The record is from RNAcentral.